AACACGUAUCCAACCUGCCUCAUACUCGGGGAUAGCCUUUCGAAAGAAAGAUUAAUAUCCGAUAGCAUAUACUUCCCGCAUGGGUUUUAUAUUAAAGAAAUUCGGUAUGAGAUGGGGAUGCGUUCCAUUAGUUUGUUGGGGGGGUAACGGCCCACCAAGACUACGAUGGAUAGGGGUUCUGAGAGGAAGGUCCCCCACAUUGGAACUGAGACACGGUCCAAACUCCUACGGGAGGCAGCAGUGAGGAAUAUUGGUCAAUGGACGCGAGUCUGAACCAGCCAAGUAGCGUGAAGGAUGACUGCCCUAUGGGUUGUAAACUUCUUUUAUAUGGGAAUAAAGUUGUCCACGUGUGGAUUUUUGUAUGUACCAAUAUGAAUAAGGAUCGGCUAACUCCGUGCCAGCAGCCGCGGUAAUACGGAGGAUCCGAGCGUUAUCCGGAUUUAUUGGGUUUAAAGGGAGCGUAGGCGGAUUGUUAAGUCAGUUGUGAAAGUUUGCGGCUCAACCGUAAAAUUGCAGUUGAUACUGGCAGUCUUGAGUGCAGUAGAGGUGGGCGGAAUUCGUGGUGUAGCGGUGAAAUGCUUAGAUAUCACGAAGAACUCCGAUUGCGAAGGCAGCUCACUGGAGUGUAACUGACGCUGAUGCUCGAAUGUGUGAGUAUCAAACAGGAUUAGAUACCCUGGUAGUCCACACAGUAAACGAUGAAU
RNAcentral lists this ribosomal RNA (704 nucleotides) under uncultured bacterium. RNAcentral describes it as "bacterial SSU rRNA". It matches the Rfam family "Bacterial small subunit ribosomal RNA", at positions 112 to 814 of the family's 1533-position model. The record is from RNAcentral.